GGCUGUAUCUGUGGUGGGUUAAUGUAGUGUUGCUGUAUCUGUGGUCUGUUAAUGUAGUGUUGCUGUAUCUGUGGUGGGUUAAUGUAGUGUUGGUGUAUCUGUGGUGGGUUAAUGUAGUGUUGCUGUAUCUGUGGUGGGUUAAUGUAGUGUGGCUGUAUCUGUGGUGGGUUAAUGUAUUGUUGCUGUAUCUGUGGUGGGUUAAUGUAGUGUUGCUGUAUCUGUGGUGGGUUAAUGUAGUGUGGCUGUAUCUGUGGUUGGUUAAUGUAGUGUUGCUGUAUCUGUGGUGGGUUAAUGUAUUGUUGCUGUAUCUGUGGUGGGUUAAUGUAGUGUUGCUGUAUCUGUGGUGGGUUAAUGUAUUGUUGCUGUAUCUGUGGUCGGAUAAUGUAGUGUGGCUGUAUCUGUGGUGGGUUAAUGUAGUGUGGCUGUAUCUGUGGUGGAUUAAUGUAGUGUGGCUGUAUCUGUGGUGGGUUAAUGUAGUGUCGCUGUAUCUGUGGUGGGUUAAUGUAGUGUGGCUGUAUCUGUGGUGGGUUAAUGUAGUGUUGCUGUAUCUGUUGUUGGUUAAUGUAGUGUUGCUGUAUCUGUGGUGGGUUAAUGUAGUGUUGCUGUAUCUGUGGUGGGUUAAUGUAGUGUUGCUGUAUCUGUGGUGGGUUA
RNAcentral lists this long non-coding RNA (651 nucleotides) under Salmo salar (Atlantic salmon). Its description in RNAcentral is "lncRNA (ENSSSAG00000086718.1)". The record is from RNAcentral. Lineage: Eukaryota; Metazoa; Chordata; Actinopteri; Salmoniformes; Salmonidae.